RNAcentral lists this ribosomal RNA (471 nucleotides) under uncultured bacterium. RNAcentral describes it as "bacterial SSU rRNA". It matches the Rfam family "Bacterial small subunit ribosomal RNA", at positions 28 to 513 of the family's 1533-position model. The record is from RNAcentral.
GACGAACGCUGGCGGCGCGCCUAACACAUGCAAGUCGAACGAGAGAUGAAGAGCUUGCUCUUCAGAUCGAGUGGCGAACGGGUGAGUAACGCGUGAGGAACCUGCCUUGAAGAGGGGGACAACAGUUGGAAACGACUGCCAAUACCGCAUGACGCAUAGAGGUCGCAUGAUCUUUAUGCCAAAGAUUUAUCGCUUCAAGAUGGCCUCGCGUCUGAUUAGCUAGUUGGCGGGGUAACGGCCCACCAAGGCGACGAUCAGUAGCCGGACUGAGAGGUUGAACGGCCACAUUGGGACUGAGAUACGGCCCAGACUCCUACGGGAGGCAGCAGUGGGGAAUAUUGCACAAUGGGGGGAAACCCUGAUGCAGCGACGCCGCGUGAGUGAUGAAGUAUUUCGGUAUGUAAAACUCUAUCAGCAGGGAAGAUAAUGACGGUACCUGACUAAGAAGCACCGGCUAAAUACGUGCCAGCA